RNAcentral lists this ribosomal RNA (321 nucleotides) under uncultured eukaryote. RNAcentral's name for it is "partial 18S ribosomal RNA". It matches the Rfam family "Eukaryotic small subunit ribosomal RNA", at positions 1470 to 1796 of the family's 1831-position model. The record is from RNAcentral.
CCCUUAGAUGUUCUGGGCUGCACGCGCGCUACACUGAUGCGCUCAACGAGUUUUAACCUUGCCUGGAAAGGUUGGGUAAUCUUUUUAAAACGCAUCGUGAUUGGGAUAGACCUUUGCAAUUAUGGGUCUUCAACGAGGAAUUCCUAGUAAACGCAAGUCAUCAGCUUGCAUUGAUUACGUCCCUGCCCUUUGUACACACCGCCCGUCGCACCUACCGAUUGAAUGGUCCGGUGAAAUCUCGGGACGGCGGCUUGGUCGCUUGCGUCCGACUGCUGAAACUUGAUUAAACCAUAUCAUUUAGAGGAAGGUGAAGUCGUAACA